GGCCAGCAGCCGCGGUAAAACGUAGGUGGCAAGCGUUAUCCGGAUUUACUGGGUGUAAAGCGUGUGCAGGCGGUUGUGUAAGUAGCGCGUGAAAGCGCCCGGCUUAACCGGGCGAGGACGUGCUGUACUGCAGAACUGGAGGCUGGUAGAGGCGAGUGGAAUUCCGGGUGUAGUGGUGAAAUGCGUAGAGAUCCGGAGGAACACCAGAGGCGAAGGCGACUCGCUGGGCCAGUACUGACGCUCAGACACGACAGCAUGGGGAGCGAACGGGAUUAGAAACCCCGGUAGUCCAUGCCGUAAACGAUGCAGACUAGGUAUCGCGGGGGUAAAACCCGGCGGCGCCGCAGCCAACGCGCUAAGUCUGCCACCUGGGGACUACGGCCGCAAGGUUAAAACUCAAAGGAAUUGGCGGGGGAU
Molecule: ribosomal RNA, 417 nt
Filed under: uncultured bacterium
Lineage: Bacteria
Description: bacterial SSU rRNA
Rfam family: Bacterial small subunit ribosomal RNA
Source: RNAcentral